UUUUUUUAAAGCCAAACUCGUCGUGAGGCGGGGUCGGAAAGCCACGGGUCUCUGGUUUGAUUAGAGAUGGCUGGGUUGCAUUG
This 83-nucleotide non-coding RNA is filed under the name Methylophaga thalassica MP. Its description in RNAcentral is "Methylophaga aminisulfidivorans MP c-di-GMP-I riboswitch aptamer". It matches the Rfam family "c-di-GMP-I riboswitch aptamer". Rfam says of the family: GEMM was predicted in a large-scale screen for bacterial structured RNA regulatory elements. Genes associated with GEMM are involved in a diverse array of functions, including chemotaxis regulation, signal transduction, secretion and chitin. Lineage: Bacteria; Pseudomonadati; Pseudomonadota; Gammaproteobacteria; Thiotrichales; Piscirickettsiaceae. The record is from Rfam by way of RNAcentral.